This 505-nucleotide ribosomal RNA is filed under the name uncultured bacterium. Its description in RNAcentral is "partial 16S ribosomal RNA". It matches the Rfam family "Bacterial small subunit ribosomal RNA", at positions 28 to 507 of the family's 1533-position model. The record is from RNAcentral.
GACGAACGCUGGCGGCGUGCCUAAUACAUGCAAGUAGAACGCACAGUUUAUACCGUAGCUUGCUACACCAUAGACUGUGAGUUGCGAACGGGUGAGUAACGCGUAGGUAACCUGCCUGGUAGCGGGGGAUAACUAUUGGAAACGAUAGCUAAUACCGCAUAAUAUUAAUUAUUGCAUGAUAAUUGAUUGAAAGAUGCAACUGCAUCACUACCAGAUGGACCUGCGUUGUAUUAGCUAGUAGGUGAGGUAACGGCUCACCUAGGCGACGAUACAUAGCCGACCUGAGAGGGUGAUCGGCCACACUGGGACUGAGACACGGCCCAGACUCCUACGGGAGGCAGCAGUAGGGAAUCUUCGGCAAUGGACGAAAGUCUGACCGAGCAACGCCGCGUGAGUGAAGAAGGGUUUCGGAUCGUAAAGCUCUGUUGUAAGAGAAGAACGGGUGUGAGAGUGGAAAGUUCACACUGUGACGGUAUCUGACCAGAAAGGGACGGCUAACUACGUG